AGGAAUAUUAAGUUAAGGAUAAAGCUUCUAACUUUUUUCCUAAGCGGUUAAAUUCCGUUUAUAUUCCUG
This 69-nucleotide transfer RNA is filed under the name Ilyoplax deschampsi. Its description in RNAcentral is "tRNA-Ser". The record is from RNAcentral. Lineage: Eukaryota; Metazoa; Arthropoda; Malacostraca; Decapoda; Dotillidae.